This is a long non-coding RNA of Micropterus salmoides (largemouth bass), 383 nucleotides long. RefSeq lists it as uncharacterized. The record is from RefSeq and is a predicted model, not a curated record. Lineage: Eukaryota; Metazoa; Chordata; Actinopteri; Centrarchiformes; Centrarchidae. The transcript has 2 exons.
ACAUCACUGCAGCUCCAUCUCACCCCGGACACAACCUGUUCCAGCUUCUCCUCUCUGUUCUGCCUCUGAAGUACUUCAGAUGAUUGCUGAACAAGGUCCACCUGGCCUUGGAAGGCGGGCUUUAAAAGCUCCUGUGCAAGCGUCAGAAAGGAGGCUUUUGAUUUGGGACUGCUGGUCUUGCUGCCUCUCAGCUGGGACAUUUUUGUGUUAUGUUGUACUUUUUGGUGGUCUUAAUUUAUCGUCUUGUUAUGUUAAUAAAUUCCCUUGAUUUGGUUGUUUUAAAGGUGUUUGUGUGUUAAGUUUGGGUCAGUGUUGGGGUGUUGUUCGCCCCAUGUUGCCACCAAAGGGUGGGGCGUAACAAUAUACGUGUUCUCUAUACUGUA